CCUUUCAUGUAUUUUGAUAUGAAUAUGUAUGUUUAGAUCAAUAUGCAGUCAAGGGGAGGGAGCUUUGUAUUUUCUUCAUGUUUGUCUAUUUAAUUAUGUUAAAAUUCAAUGUAUUCUAUGCUUUUAUUUGUGUUCUAAUGAAAAAAUGUAUACUAUGCUUUUAUUUGUAAGUAUAGAAAUAUUUAUGUACUUUUAUAUUUUUGUCUCUUUUCAUUUUUGAGCUAAUUUUUUUCCGG
Molecule: long non-coding RNA, 236 nt
Filed under: Gossypium raimondii (Peruvian cotton)
Lineage: Eukaryota; Viridiplantae; Streptophyta; Magnoliopsida; Malvales; Malvaceae
Description: long non-coding RNA (GRAI_LNC011122)
Source: RNAcentral